This 446-nucleotide ribosomal RNA is filed under the name uncultured bacterium. RNAcentral describes it as "partial 16S ribosomal RNA". It matches the Rfam family "Bacterial small subunit ribosomal RNA", at positions 338 to 795 of the family's 1533-position model. The record is from RNAcentral.
CCUACGGGUGGCAGCAGUCGAGAAUCAUUCACAAUGGGGGAAACCCUGAUGGUGCGACGCCGCGUGGGGGAAUGAAGGUCUUCGGAUUGUAAACCCCUGUCAUGUGGGAGCCAAUUAAAAAGAUAGUACCACACGAGGAAGAUACGGCUAACUCUGUGCCAGCAGCCGCGGUAAUACAGAGGUCUCAAGCGUUGUUCGGAAUCACUGGGCGUAAAGCGUGCGUAGGCUGUUUCGUAAGUCGCGUGUGAAAGGCGCGGGCUCAACCCGCGGACGGCACAUGAUACUGCGAGACUAGAGUAAUGGAGGGGGAACCGGAAUUCUCGGUGUAGCAGUGAAAUGCGUAGAUAUCGAGAGGAACACUCGUGGCGAAGGCGGGUUCCUGGACAUUAACUGACGCUGAGGCACGAAGGCCAGGGGAGCGAAAGGGAUUAGAUACCCCAGUAGUC